UGGGGAAUAUUGCACAAUGGGCGCAAGCCUGAUGCAGCAAUGCCGCGUGAGUGAAGACGGCCUUAGGGUUGUAAAACUCUUUCGCUAGGGAAGAUAAUGACGGUACCUAGUAAAGAAGUCCCGGCUAACUCCGUGCCAGCAGCCGCGGUAAUACGGAGGGGACUAGCGUUGUUCGGAAUUACUGGGCGUAAAGCGCACGUAGGCGGACCAGAAAGUUGGGGGUGAAAUCCCGGGGCUCAACCCCGGAACUGCCUCCAAAACUAUUGGUCUAGAGUUCGAGAGAGGUGAGUGGAAUUCCAAGUGUAGAGGUGAAAUUCGUAGAUAUUUGGAGGAACACCAGUGGCGAAGGCGGCUCACUGGCUCGAUACUGACGCUGAGGUGCGAAAGUGUGGGGAGCAAACAGGAUUAGAUACCCUGGUAGUCCACACCGUAAAACGAUGAAUGCCAGUCGUCGGGUAGCAUGCUAUUCGGUGACACACCUAACGGAUUAAGCAUUCCGCCUGGGGAGUACGGUCGCAAGAUUAAAACUCAAAGGAAUUG
RNAcentral lists this ribosomal RNA (540 nucleotides) under uncultured bacterium. RNAcentral's name for it is "bacterial SSU rRNA". It matches the Rfam family "Bacterial small subunit ribosomal RNA", at positions 355 to 912 of the family's 1533-position model. The record is from RNAcentral.